This 445-nucleotide ribosomal RNA is filed under the name uncultured bacterium. RNAcentral's name for it is "bacterial SSU rRNA". It matches the Rfam family "Bacterial small subunit ribosomal RNA", at positions 915 to 1357 of the family's 1533-position model. The record is from RNAcentral.
GGGGGCCCGCAAACGGUGGAUCAUGUGGUUCAAUUCGACACAACGCGCAUAACCUUACCUGGGCUCAAAGGGCUUCGGAACUGGCGUGGAAACACGGGUAUCCCGCAAGGGAGUGGAGUCGAGGUGCUGCAUGGCUGUCCUCGUCUCGUGGCGUGAGAUGUUUUGAUAACUCCCCCAAUUCCGCAACCCUUGCCCUGUUUUCCCCUCAUUAAGUUCGAAACUAUGCUGGCACCCCCAUCGAGGGUUUGGAUGAAGGUGGGAAUGACCUCAAGUCAUCAUGGCCUUUAUGUCCACGGCUACGCACCUGCUGCAAUGGACGUCCCCAAAAGGGAAGCUCAUGCCCGAGGUCGAGCUGAUCGGCUGAAAACCCUUCUCAAGGUACAUCGCGUUGCUGCAAACCACACUGCAUGAACCUGGACUCGCUAGUAAUGCCACAUCACCAUGC